This is a non-coding RNA of Podarcis lilfordi (Lilford's wall lizard), 109 nucleotides long. The record is from the annotation of a GenBank genome assembly. Lineage: Eukaryota; Metazoa; Chordata; Lepidosauria; Squamata; Lacertidae.
GUCUACAGCCAUACUACCCUGAACAUGCCUGAAGUUGGAAGCUAAGCAGGGUCAGACCUGGUUAGUACUUGGAUGGGAGAUCGCCUGGGAAAAAAGGGUGCCAUAGUAU